GACGUUUUGUAAUGGAAACCAUAUUUAACUAUAAACGUCGUCUUUGUGUCAUUUUUUUUUUUUUUUAUCAAAAGCAAUUCUUGUACACAUAAGUGUUAAGGUUGGACCGAAACUCGGCUUACCUGGAAAGUUGUUGUGUGUUGUUGUCCCCGGAAGUAGCGAACUCGGCUUACCUGUAAAGUUAUUUUUUUUAGUUGUUGUCACCGGAAGUAGCGAACUCGGCUUACCUGUAAAGUUUUAUUUGUUGUUGUUGUCCACCGGAAGUAGUCAACCUGUCUGUCGUGGUUUUUUUGGGGGGGUUUUUUGUAACUCCAAAAAGAAACAAAUUAUGGCGUCUUCACGUUCUUCAACCUGUUCGAGCGGGAAGAGGUUUUCCAUGAGCACACAGACGCUAACUUGGAGGAGGAUGACGUGAACGCAGUGUUUUAGUGAGAUUGUAAAGACAUACCUGAAAAUCGGAUGGCUGCGGUGAACACGCCAGUGUCUCAGAGAGAAGCCGAGGAGCCAAGAUCACAGCUGCCUUUUUUGACAGCUACUGCAGGAGGACGCUUAAUCCACUGAUGUCUCCGGUAAGAUAUACAUAUCACAAUUUUCCCAUCCAAAAAUAAAUCAAGUUUAUGAGUUUCAACAUCAAAUAUGUUGUCUGUGUUGUGCAUUCAACUGAAUAUGGAUUGAAAAGGAUUUGCAAAUCAUUGUAUUCCGUUUAUAUUUACAUCUAACACAAUUUCCCAACUUAUAUGGAAACGGGGUUUGUACUUUUACUCAAGUAAAUAUUUGGGUGACUACUCCUUACUUUUACUUGAGUAAUACAUCUCUGAAGUAACAGUACUCUUACUUGAGUACAAUUUCUGGCUACUCUACCCACCUCUGUUGAUAUCACUAAAUCACCUUCUGUCACAUACGCUUGCACCUCCUGGUACCCCAGCACCUCCAAAACCCUCAAAUCUAGACUCCAAACAUCCCAGAACAAGCUAGUCCGGUUACUUUUAGACCUCCACCCCAGAUCACACCUCAAUCCAACCCACUUCUCCAAAGUGGGGCUGGCUCAGGCUGGAGGACAGAGUAAAACAACUUGCACUGAGCCUAGUCUAUAAAAUCUGCUACACCUCCUUGAUACCGAAGUACAUGUCAAGCUACUUCCUUAACGACCGCCAUAACCACAACACCAGGGGGAGCUCCACAAACCACGUUAAACCCAGAUUCCGAUCUAACAAAGGUCUUAACUCAUUCUCCUUCUAUGCCACAUCAAUGUGGAAUGCACUCCCAACAGGUGUAAAAGUAAGUGCAUCUCUAUAUUCCUUCAAAACCGCUCUAAAACAACACCUCCAGGCAACUUCAACACUUUACUAAUACUCUCCUCCAUUCACAUCCCAUCUCCCCGGAUUAUAAACAACUCAAAUGUACUUCUAAUGUAUAUACUUGUUCUUAUGCUAUCUGAACUCACUAUUUUCUCUGCUGGCUGUACAUAUCCUACUAAAUAAGACCUACAGUGUUUCAAUGUCCACAUUUCUCUGUUGAUGCAAUUGUUGAUGACUGAAGUACUGAUAUCAACCAAAGCUACCCAUCCCACCCCCCGGAUUGUAAAUAAUGUAAAUAAUUCAAUGUACAUACUAUGAUGAUUAACUUGUGUGAUGACUGUAUUAUGUUGAUAGUGUAUAUUUGUACCAUGAAUUGAUUAACGUGGACCCCGACUUAAACAAGUUGAAAAACUUAUUCGGGUGUUAGUGGUCAGUUGUACGGAAUAUGUACUGAACUGUGCAAUCUACUAAUAAAAGUAUCAAUCAAUCAAUCAAAAAACUUACUAGACAGUAAUGGAUUAUAAAAUACAGUAUGGCCAAAAUAAUGCAAUUUAUCACCGCAAAUAAAUCCUGACUUUUAUGACAAACGGCGACAGAAAGUUAAGGCUGUCGGUAUCACUUUCUGCCGGCUGAUGGAAUGCAGCGUUGUCACCAGCUCACUGAGCGACCUGGCGUCAGCAAAUGUCGCUUUGUUUCCGAGCUUUCCUUCCCCGGCUGUAAAUCG
Long non-coding RNA from Nerophis ophidion (straightnose pipefish), 2022 nucleotides. RefSeq lists it as uncharacterized. The transcript is spliced from 3 exons. NCBI's taxonomy places the organism in Eukaryota, Metazoa, Chordata, Actinopteri, Syngnathiformes, Syngnathidae. The record is from RefSeq and is a predicted model, not a curated record.